This 352-nucleotide unclassified non-coding RNA is filed under the name soil metagenome. RNAcentral's name for it is "partial contains 5.8S ribosomal RNA, internal transcribed spacer 2, and large subunit ribosomal RNA". The stretch from base 1 to 120 matches the Rfam family "5.8S ribosomal RNA", at positions 35 to 154 of the family's 154-position model. The record is from RNAcentral.
GAUGAAGAACGUAGCGAAAUGCGAUAAGUAAUGUGAAUUGCAGAAUUCAGUGAAUCAUCGAAUCUUUGAACGCACAUUGCGCCCGCCAGUAUUCUGGCGGGCAUGCCUGUUCGAGCGUCAUUACAACCCUCAGGCCCCCGGGCCUGGCGUUGGGGAUCGGCGGAGCCCCCCGUGGGCACACGCCGUCCCCCAAAUGCAGUGGCGGUCCCGCCGCAGCUUCCAUCGCGUAGUAGCUAACACCUCGCGACUGGAGAGCGGCACGGCCACGCCGUAAAACACCCAACUCUUCUGAAGUUGACCUCGAAUCAGGUAGGAAUACCCGCUGAACUUAAGCAUAUCAAUAAGCGGAGGA